AGGUCCCACCAUCGGUAGCGUGCUAAUAACAACCAGCCUCCGCGAAGUAAUACCUAACGGUGGUCCCGCGGGGGAGAGUGGUAGAAGAAGUGUGUGGGGGGGGGGGGGGUAGUUUUUAGUACGUAUGCGCCAUGGAUGGCGAAUCGUGCAUGCUGCUACUAAGAACCAGCAGUAUCUUUUGAAGAUUUUCUACCUCCAGCUCACC
Molecule: non-coding RNA, 205 nt
Organism: Glossina morsitans morsitans
Lineage: Eukaryota; Metazoa; Arthropoda; Insecta; Diptera; Glossinidae
Source: Rfam